GUGGUGUAUGGGUGGUGAUAUGUGGUGUUAAUGGAAAUGUGAGUGGUAGUAUGGUGGUGUUAAUGGAAAUGUACGUGGUAGUAUGAUGGUAAUACAUGCAAACUAACAACGGUAUAUCUAUCUCUUUCGUUGAUAUUGAUAUGUAAAACUAUCAAUUCUCAGACCUGUAUAGGUAGUGAUGUGAGUAAUGUUAAAGAAGAUGUAAGUGAUGACAUCUGAUGUGUCAGUAGUGGUGUACAAGUGGUGGUAAGUGGUGGUAUGUGGUGUAUGAGUGGUGUUAAUGGAAAUGUGAGUGGUAGUAUGGUGGUAUUAAUGGAAAUGUGCGUGGUAGUAUGAUGGUGAUACAAUGUACAUGCAAACUAAUAACGGUAGAUCUACCUCUUUCGUUGAUAUUGAUAUGUAAAACUAUCAAUUCUCUAACCUGUAUAGGUAGUGGUGUGAUUGGUGUAAAAACAAAAACAAAAACAAAAAACCGGUGUUAAAACACAUGUGUUAGCAUCCGAUGUGCCAUUAGCUGUGUGUAAAUGGUGUUUAUGGAAAUGUGAAUGGUGGUACGUGGUGUAUAAAUGGUGGUAUGUGGUGUUAAUGAAAAUAAGGGUUGUGGUAUGUGGUGUUAACGAACGUGUAGGUAGAGUGUGUGCGAUGUUAACGAAAGUAUGAAUGGUAGUAGUUGGCUGGUUAUUUCACAAUUUUCACCCUUAUUAUACACCACUUGUGGAUGAAGUACUAUGAUUAAUGGUUAUUACCCCCUAGUAGCGAGGGCUCUUUAGCGUGCAAACGCCUACCGCCAUAGGGCCUUCCGAAAGACCCGUAAAUGCAGUGCAUUUGGAGGGCCAAUCACUACCAAUGUUUACGUCUUAGGUUGGCGAUGGCAUGAGGAGGAUUCGAAUUCAUGAGCUUCCGGUUAGGAAGCAAACGCUCUACCAUUGAGCAAUGCGACCGGUAAUUGCGUGGUGGUGGUGGUGGUGGAAGUAUAUAAAGAACCUAAAAGCCAGGAAUUAUUCGUUUACUUGCAUGACAAUCUGAGCAGUGUUUAUAUACUUCCACCUGAAGUGUGUCACAGUCUGUAUAAUGGAAUGAUAACGUGUUGUAAAGUUCUAACGAGAUACAAAUGGAGUUUAUCAUUUUGGUUCGUGGAUUUAUCAGAAUAAAGAGAAUCUUAUAUUUUCGGAAGCAAUCAACAGUUGUGAUCGAGAAGAGAGAAGGAGAAAAUUUCAAGUGUGAGAUUGUAUUUGAUGAGACUGAUAUGACAAUGGUACCAGAGCCAACUGUCAAACAGCACUCCAGCCAGCAACAUUUUCCUCUUGUAUUUUUUGACUUGGAAUCAACAGGAUUAACUAGAGAUUCUCAUAUUACACAGCUGUCGUGUGUGGUGAAGAAAAAUGUUCCACCUAUACCUUUCCAAAAAUACCUAUCACAGUAAAAGCCUCAGAAAUCACAGGAAUCGAAAUUGUCAAUGGAAAUAUGUUUAACAAAAAUAUAGAAGUCAAGCCUUUCAGCAGGAAUGGAUGCUCUGCUUAAUUUUGUUUCAAAAUUUUAAA
Ostrea edulis (European flat oyster) is the source of this 1541-nucleotide long non-coding RNA. RefSeq lists it as uncharacterized. The record is from RefSeq and is a predicted model, not a curated record. Lineage: Eukaryota; Metazoa; Mollusca; Bivalvia; Ostreida; Ostreidae. The transcript is spliced from 3 exons.